CCUACGGGAGGCAGCAGUAGGGAAUCUUCCACAAUGGGCGAAAGCCUGAUGGAGCAACGCCGCGUGAGUGAAGAAGUAAUUCGUUAUGUAAAGCUCUAUCAGCAGGGAAGAAAGUGACGGUACCUGAAAACGAAGCUCCGGCUAAAUACGUGCCAGCAGCCGCGGUAAUACGUAUGGAGCAAGCGUUAUCCGGAUUUACUGGGUGUAAAGGGAAAGUAGGUGGCAGAGCAAGUCCGAAGUGAAAACCCAAAGCUCAACUAUGGGAAUGCUUUAGAAACUGCUCAGCUAGAGUGCAGGAGAGGCAAGUGGAAUUCUUAGUGUAGCGGUGAAAUGCGGAGAUAUUAGGAGGAACACCAGUGGCGAAGGCGGCUUGCUGGACUGUAACUGACACUGAGGCUCGAAAGCGUGGGGAGCAAACAGGAUUAGAUACCCCUGUAGUC
Molecule: ribosomal RNA, 440 nt
Filed under: uncultured bacterium
Lineage: Bacteria
Description: partial 16S ribosomal RNA
Rfam family: Bacterial small subunit ribosomal RNA
Source: RNAcentral